Molecule: ribosomal RNA, 450 nt
Filed under: uncultured bacterium
Lineage: Bacteria
Description: bacterial SSU rRNA
Rfam family: Bacterial small subunit ribosomal RNA
Source: RNAcentral
CUCUGUGACUCCUACGGGAGGCAGCAGUGGGGAAUAUUGCACAAUGGGCGCAAGCCUGAUGCAGCAACGCCGUGUGAGUGAAGAAGGUUUUCGGAUCGUAAAACUCUGUCCUAAGGGAAGAAACAAAUGACGGUACCUUAGGAGGAAGCCCCGGCUAACUACGUGCCAGCAGCCGCGGUAAUACGUAGGGGGCAAGCGUUAUCCGGAAUCACUGGGCGUAAAGGGUGCGUAGGCGGCUUAGCAAGCCAGGGGUGAAAGGCAUUGGCUCAACCAAUGUAAGCCUUUGGAACUGUUAAGCUUGAGUGCAGGAGAGGUAAGUGGAAUUCCUAGUGUAGAGGUGAAAUUCGUAGAUAUUAGGAGGAACACCAGUGGCGAAGGCGACUUUCUGGACUGUAACUGACGCUGAGGCACGAAAGCGUGGGGAGCGAACAGGAUUAGAUACCCUGGUAG